Molecule: ribosomal RNA, 254 nt
Filed under: uncultured bacterium
Lineage: Bacteria
Description: partial 16S ribosomal RNA
Rfam family: Bacterial small subunit ribosomal RNA
Source: RNAcentral
UACGGAGGGGGCGAGCGUUGUCCGAAUUUAUUGGGCGUAAAGCGCGUGUAGGCGGACGAACAAGCCUGGGGUGAAAGGUUGGGGCUCAACCCCAAGAGUGCCCUGGGGACUGUUCGUCUGGAGGCCGGCAGAGGAGAGUGGAAUUCCUGGUGUAGCGGUGGAAUGCGUAGAGAUCAGGAAGAACACCCAUGGCGAAGGCAGCUCUCUGGGCCGGUACUGACGCUGGAGACGCGAAAGCGUGGGGAGCAAACAGG